Molecule: non-coding RNA, 29 nt
Filed under: Homo sapiens (human)
Lineage: Eukaryota; Metazoa; Chordata; Mammalia; Primates; Hominidae
Source: RNAcentral
CUACAUCUGAUUGGUGUACCUGAAAGUGA